CCUACGGGAGGCAGCAGUGAGGAAUAUUGGUCAAUGGGAGAAAUCCUGAACCAGCCAAGCCGCGUGAGGGAAGACGGCCCUAUGGGUUGUAAACCUCUUUUGUCGGAGAACAAAACCCGGGACGUGUCCCGGACUGCGUGUACCCGAAGAAAAAGCAUCGGCUAACACCGUGCCAGCAGCCGCGGUAAUACGGGGGAUACGAGCGUUAUCCGGAUUUAUGGGGUUUAAAGGGUGCGUGGGCGGUCCGUUAUGUCAGAGGGAAAAGUUCGAGGCUAAACCCCGACGAGCCGGUGAAACUGGCAGACUUGAGUUUGGGAGAAGUACGCGGAAUGCGCGGUGUAGCGGUGAAAUGCAUAGAUAUCGGGCAGAACACCGAUUGCGAAGGCAGCGUACCGG
RNAcentral lists this ribosomal RNA (396 nucleotides) under uncultured bacterium. RNAcentral describes it as "partial 16S ribosomal RNA". It matches the Rfam family "Bacterial small subunit ribosomal RNA", at positions 338 to 732 of the family's 1533-position model. The record is from RNAcentral.